GAUGAACGCUAGCGAUAGGCCUAACACAUGCAAGUCGAGCGGGCAAUUUAUCUAGCACUGAUUACUUCAAAUGGCUAUCGCCAGUGUAAUCAUGAAUUUCUACCUUAUUAAUAAAGAAAGAGAAAUUCAUGUACGCAAAUAGUGAUAACACAUUUUAGUGAAGUGAUGAGUGCUGGAUAAAUUGCUAGCGGCGGACGGGUGCGUAACACGUGGGUAACCUGCCCCUAUCACUGGGAUAACACACUGAAAAGUGUGCUAAUACCAGAUAAUAUAAGCUUUUGGCAUCAUUAGCUUAUCAAAGAAUUUCGGAUAGGGAUGGGCCCGCGUCUGAUUAGCUAGUUGGUGAGGUAACGGCUCACCAAGGCAACGAUCAGUAGCCGACCUGAGAGGGUGAUCGGCCACACUGGAACUGAGACACGGUCCAGACUCCUACGGGAGGCAGCAGUGGGGAAUAUUGCACAAUGGGCG
RNAcentral lists this ribosomal RNA (468 nucleotides) under uncultured bacterium. RNAcentral describes it as "bacterial SSU rRNA". It matches the Rfam family "Bacterial small subunit ribosomal RNA", at positions 28 to 377 of the family's 1533-position model. The record is from RNAcentral.